GAUGAACGCUAGCGGCAGGCUUAAUACAUGCAAGUCAAGGGGGUAGCAAUACAACCGGCGCACGGGUGAGUAACGCGUACACAACAUACCAUAUACUGGGGUAUAGCUUUGGGAAACUGAAGGUAAUCCCCCAUAACAUUGCGAGAGGGCAUCUGAUUGCAAUUAAAGUUUCGGCGGUAUAUGAUUGGUGUGCGUUUGAUUAGCUAGUUGGUAGGGUAACGGCCUACCAAGGCGACGAUCAAUAGCUGGCGUGAGAGCGCGACCAGCCACACUGGAACUGAGACACGGUCCAGACUCCUACGGGAGGCAGCAGUAGGGAAUAUUGGACAAUGGAGGAAACUCUGAUCCAGCCAUGCCGCGUGAUAGUUGAAGGCCCUCUGGGUUGUAAAUAUCUUUUAUCUGGGAAGAAACAAUCUUAUUCUUAAGAUCUUGACGGUACCAGAGGAAUAAGCACCGGCUAAACUCCGUGCCAGCAGCCGCGGU
RNAcentral lists this ribosomal RNA (483 nucleotides) under uncultured bacterium. Its description in RNAcentral is "bacterial SSU rRNA". It matches the Rfam family "Bacterial small subunit ribosomal RNA", at positions 28 to 521 of the family's 1533-position model. The record is from RNAcentral.